RNAcentral lists this ribosomal RNA (253 nucleotides) under uncultured bacterium. RNAcentral's name for it is "partial 16S ribosomal RNA". It matches the Rfam family "Bacterial small subunit ribosomal RNA", at positions 524 to 776 of the family's 1533-position model. The record is from RNAcentral.
UACGGAGGGCGCAAGCGUUUUUCGGAAUCACUGGGCGUAAAGCGCGUGUAGGCGGCUUGGCAAGUCGGGUGUGAAAUCCCGAGGCUCAACCUCGGAACUUCACUCGAAACUGCCUCGCUCGAGUCCCGGAGAGGGUGGCGGAAUUCCCGGUGUAGGGGUGAAAUCCGUAGAUAUCGGGAGGAACACCAGUGGCGAAGGCGGCCACCUGGACGGUGACUGACGCUGAGACGCGAAAGCGUGGGGAGCAAACAGG